Molecule: long non-coding RNA, 878 nt
Organism: Rhodamnia argentea
Lineage: Eukaryota; Viridiplantae; Streptophyta; Magnoliopsida; Myrtales; Myrtaceae
Exons: 2
Source: RefSeq, a predicted model, not a curated record
AUUAUCUCUAAAUCUUCAAUUGAGGAAGUAGCAGAACCAAUCUGAAGUUCCAAAACUGAGCACAUAUCUAAACUAUUUGGAUUUUUUUUUUAAUGAUUGUAAUUUAAAAUAAGCAUUGCAUUGGUGCAUAUUAAAGAAAAUGAGCAUAGAAUGUUUAAUUGAAAAGACCUGUCACAUCUCAAUAGUUGAAAAUUUCUCGUUAAAGAUCAGUAUUUGAGAUUAUAAGAUUCAACAGAUUGAAUCUGUAAAUGAGAUGUUCUAGCAACAAAAUCUUUCCUUGCAGAAGUGAAGUGUAUUCCUGCGACUAUUUUUUGUUUUUUGUUACAGAAGUCCCUUUUUCUCUACGAAUGGCACGUACGUUAGCACAAUAUGCUAAAUUAAGUGAUGUCGUCAUUGUACAAACAAGAUCUACCAUAGAAUUUGAUUAAUGCUCUUCAAAAUUCCACGAGACAUAAGAGUUUUUCUUCAUAGACAGAAAUUUGCAAGGAACUGUGUUCAUCGAUUGACUUCACCCUUCCACUAUGUGUAAAGCCCUUUCACAUCGGAUUAAUAUAGAGAAAGAAUAAUACUUAUAGGUUUUCCAAAAACUGAUCAGAAAGCUCAAGAAGCACAAUGCAAAGACCUAAUAGCACGAUUUGUUCUGGCCUUAUUACGAUGGGGAAAAGAAAUAAAUUGCAAAGGAGGUAUCUAAGCCAAGUUGGACUUGACAGUAUGUGCUAUUGAUAAAUUGAAAUAAACAUGUGCUAAUUUGGUUAACUUGUAAGUGUCAAAAGAGUCUGGACAUACUAAAGAGCUUUUACGUGGCAUGGUGCACUUACCUAGUGCUCCUAAGGAUCCAAAAUGGAAAGUAGAUGAUGCGGAAGGCUGUAAAAGCAAGU